RNAcentral lists this small nucleolar RNA (66 nucleotides) under Poecilia mexicana. RNAcentral's name for it is "Small nucleolar RNA SNORD73 (ENSPMEG00000005953.1)". The record is from RNAcentral. Lineage: Eukaryota; Metazoa; Chordata; Actinopteri; Cyprinodontiformes; Poeciliidae.
AGCGUGUGAUGAAAUAGUUUCGGUCCCAUAUGACUGCCUGAUUACUGUUUGAGAUCAGCUGAUGCU